UACGUAGGGGGCGAGCGUUGUCCGGAUUUAUUGGGCGUAAAGAGCUCGUAGGUGGUUCGGUAAGUCGGGUGUGAAAACUCUGGGCUCAACCCAGAGACGCCACCCGAUACUGCUGUGACUUGAGUCUGGUAGGGGAGUGUGGAAUUCCCAGUGUAGCGGUGAAAUGCGCAGAUAUCAGGAGGAAUACCCGUGGCGAAAGCGGCCCUCUGGGACGGUACCGACGCUGAGACGCGAAAGCGUGGGGAGCAAACAGG
This 254-nucleotide ribosomal RNA is filed under the name uncultured bacterium. RNAcentral's name for it is "partial 16S ribosomal RNA". It matches the Rfam family "Bacterial small subunit ribosomal RNA", at positions 524 to 776 of the family's 1533-position model. The record is from RNAcentral.